Molecule: long non-coding RNA, 956 nt
Organism: Bactrocera latifrons
Lineage: Eukaryota; Metazoa; Arthropoda; Insecta; Diptera; Tephritidae
Exons: 3
Source: RefSeq, a predicted model, not a curated record
UAUUUAAUUGUCACGUUUGUAAACGUUCAUUACUCCCUUAUUAAUAAUGUAUUGUGCGGGUAAUAUGGUAUUGUUUAUCAUAUUUAUAUGGAUCAUUAGGUGGAUUAAAUCAAAUGUACGAAAAUCCGGAAGGUCUUUUCCCCAUGUGCUGCUGGCUAGUGUCUUCAUGAUUUUGUUGCGACUCUGUUAUUUGGCAGUUAUCGGGGUCGUAUGAGGAGUAAAGGAGUACAGGCUGUCCGGUGGCACCUAAGAUCUUAAGAUUGCUGACAGUCGACAAUUGCAAAGUAAAGGUCUAGCCUGUAGUCCUUCGUCCAGUUUGCGAAUAUGUUAGGCUCCUUUCAGAGAAAAAGCGAGAAAGGUGGGAGAUAAUAUAUGAAACGAUUGCAUGCAAUUAGUUUUUGUUUUCAUAAGAUUUCAGCAGUAAAACUUCUUCUUAAUAAUUGCACAGUACAAUUAUUGAAAACUAAUACUGAAAUAGUUUAUAAUAAAUGCUUAACAUAUGCAUUUUAUCUGAAUCAAUUGUUAGGAAAAUAUGAAAAAAUUUAACAACAUAGUUAUCGAUUAACACAUGUGUUCAUCCUUAUAUUUGAUAAUAAUGGAAAAGGAAGGCAAGUAAUUGUAAACAAUAUAAAUUUCAUUAUAUUAUAAUUAUUACAGUAUAKGUUUACAGAUCAUAAUAAAGUGUCGCGCACCUCAAAUUAGCAAAUAGAGUGCUAUCACAACUUUGUGCGGGUUCACCCGGAGAUAAAGUUUAAUAAAAACGACCCAUCGCGGCCAAAAAGAAUGGAGGAGCUUUGGGCGGAACUUUCCAUGUAAUUAAAUUCCCAAAAAAGGCCUACCCGGGACCCCAUCAAAUGGAGAGAGAAUAUGAGCCAUUGGAAAAACCAAGUAAGACCUCGUGCAAGGAAAGCCAAGGCGCACAAGCUGGUGACAGGUGGCGGUCCCAGCUCAACAAU